UCACAGGCACACUGCUUCAUGAGAGA
This 26-nucleotide non-coding RNA is filed under the name Homo sapiens (human). Lineage: Eukaryota; Metazoa; Chordata; Mammalia; Primates; Hominidae. The record is from RNAcentral.